Molecule: non-coding RNA, 84 nt
Organism: Trichonephila clavipes
Lineage: Eukaryota; Metazoa; Arthropoda; Arachnida; Araneae; Nephilidae
Source: the annotation of a GenBank genome assembly
GUCAGGAUGGCCGAGCGGUUUAAGGCGCUGCAAUCAGGUCGUUGUACCAUUGCGUGGGCGUGAAUUUGAAUCCCACUUCUGACA